CCCUUAGAUGUCCGGGGCUGCACGCGCGCUACACUGAAGGAAUCAGCGUGCUAAAACCAUUGUCGAAAGGCAUUGGUAAACCCAUUAAAAUCCUACGUGAUUGGGAUCGGGAAUUGCAAUUAUUUCCCUUGAACGAGGAAUUCCCAGUAAGUGUGGGUCAUAAGCUCGCGUUGAUUACGUCCCUGCCCUUUGUACACACCGCCCGUCGCUGCCCGGGACUGGGCCGUUUCGAGAAAAGCGGGGACUGCUGCUGUCGGGGCUUUCGGGCCUUGGCUUCGGUGGAAACCGCUUUAAUCGCAGUGGCUUGAACCGGGCAAAANUCGUAACA
RNAcentral lists this ribosomal RNA (328 nucleotides) under uncultured eukaryote. Its description in RNAcentral is "partial 18S ribosomal RNA". It matches the Rfam family "Eukaryotic small subunit ribosomal RNA", at positions 1470 to 1796 of the family's 1831-position model. The record is from RNAcentral.